This 375-nucleotide ribosomal RNA is filed under the name uncultured bacterium. RNAcentral's name for it is "bacterial SSU rRNA". It matches the Rfam family "Bacterial small subunit ribosomal RNA", at positions 524 to 898 of the family's 1533-position model. The record is from RNAcentral.
UACGUAGGUGGCAAGCGUUGUCCGGAUUUACUGGGUGUAAAGGGCGUGUAGACGGGAUGGCAAGUCAGAUGUUUAAUUUAUGGGCUCAACCCAUACUAGCAUUUGAAACUGUUGUUCUUGAGUGAUGGAGAGGAAAGCGGAAUUCCUAGUGUAGCGGUGAAAUGCGUAGAUAUUAGGAGGAACACCGGUGGCGAAGGCGGCUUUCUGGACAUUAACUGACGUUGAGGCGCGAAAGUGUGGGGAGCAAACAGGAUUAGAUACCCUGGUAGUCCACACUGUAAACGAUGGAUACUAGGUGUAGGAGGUAUCGACCCCUUCUGUGCCGGAGUUAACACAAUAAGUAUCCCACCUGGGGAGUACGGUCGCAAGAUUGAA